RNAcentral lists this transfer RNA (74 nucleotides) under Xenocephalus elongatus (bulldog stargazer). RNAcentral describes it as "tRNA-Asp". Lineage: Eukaryota; Metazoa; Chordata; Actinopteri; Uranoscopiformes; Uranoscopidae. The record is from RNAcentral.
AAGACACUAGUAAAACCGCCUUAUUACACUGCCUCGUCACGACAGCUUUGUGGGUUAAACCCCCGCGUGCCUUG